RNAcentral lists this ribosomal RNA (991 nucleotides) under Klebsiella sp. RNAcentral describes it as "bacterial SSU rRNA". It matches the Rfam family "Bacterial small subunit ribosomal RNA", at positions 386 to 1352 of the family's 1533-position model. Lineage: Bacteria; Pseudomonadati; Pseudomonadota; Gammaproteobacteria; Enterobacterales; Enterobacteriaceae. The record is from RNAcentral.
AUGCAGCCAUGCCGCGUGUGUGAAGAAGGCCUUCGGGUUGUAAAGCACUUUCAGCGGGGAGGAAGGCGGUGAGGUUAAUAACCUCAUCGAUUGACGUUGCCCGCAGAAGAAGCACCGGCUAACUCCCUGCCAGCAGCCGCGGUAAUACGGAGGGUGCAAGCGUUAAUCGGAAUUACUGGGCGUAAAGCGCAGGCAGGCGGUCUGUCAAGUCGGAUGUGAAAUCCCCGGGCUCAACCUGGGAACUGCAUUCGAGACUGGGAAGCUAAAAUCUUGUACAGGGGGGUAGAAUUCCAAGUGUAGGGGUGAAAUGCUUAGAGAUCUGGAGGAAUACCGGUGGCGAAGGCGGCCGCCUGGACUAAUACCGAGACUCAAGUGCAAAAUCGUGGGGAGCAAACGAGAUUAGAUACCCUGGUACUCCACGCUGUUUACCAUGUGGAUUUGGACGUUGUGCCCUUGAUGCGUGGCUUCCGGAACUAAGGCGUGAAAUCCACCGCCUGGGGAGUACGGCCGCAAGGUUAAAACUCAGAUGAGUUGACCGGCGCCCGCACAAACUUUGGAGCAUGUGGUUUAAUUCCAUGCGACGCGGAUAACCUUACCUGGUCUUGACAUCCACACAACUUUGCAGAGAUCGAUUGAUGCCUUCGGGAACUGUGAGACAGGAGCUGGGUGGCUGUCCUCGUCUGCUGUUGUGAAAUGUUCACGUUAAGUCCCGCAACUUGUCGCAACGGGUAUCCAUCGUUGCCGGCGGUCCUCGCCGAUGAACUCACAGUACACUGCCACUGCUGGACUGCAGGAACGCUGCUGAUAAACAUCUAGUCAGCCUGUCCCUUACGACCUUCCCUAGUCGAGUGCUGCGAUGUCAUAUACAACGAGACGCGACCGUCAGCAGAGCGAUGCUACACCUCAUAAAGUCUGAUCAAAGUCUCGGCACUCGUACUCUAGCAACUCGACUGCAUGAAACUCGAGAAUUCGCUAGUGAUCGUACUAUCAG